GUAACACGUGAGCAACCUACCUUUCAGUGGGGGACAACAUUUGGAAACGAAUGCUAAUACCGCAUAAGACCACAGUGUCGCAUGGCACAGGGGUCAAAGGAUUUAUCCGCUGAAAGAUGGGCUCGCGUCCGAUUAGCUAGAUGGUGAGGUAACGGCCCACCAUGGCGACGAUCGGUAGCCGGACUGAGAGGUUGAACGGCCACAUUGGGACUGAGACACGGCCCAGACUCCUACGGGAGGCAGCAUG
This 247-nucleotide ribosomal RNA is filed under the name uncultured bacterium. RNAcentral's name for it is "partial 16S ribosomal RNA". It matches the Rfam family "Bacterial small subunit ribosomal RNA", at positions 110 to 353 of the family's 1533-position model. The record is from RNAcentral.